Non-coding RNA from Peromyscus maniculatus bairdii (prairie deer mouse), 240 nucleotides. The record is from RefSeq and is a predicted model, not a curated record. Lineage: Eukaryota; Metazoa; Chordata; Mammalia; Rodentia; Cricetidae.
GCUCAUCAUGUUUGUGACUGCAAUGAUGCUGCUACCUUGGACAAAGGGUUUACUGCUGCUGGUUCAGAGAAGGAUUGCCAGGACCAUCGUGUUACAAGAAAGCAUCAGCAAAGGGCAGUUUGGAAAAGUUUUGCAAGACAAAUGAUGGGGAGAAAUUGCUGUGAAGAUUUUCUCUUCUAGGGAAGAAUGUUCAUGGUUUCUAGAGACAGACAUUUAUCAGACUGUGAUCGCUACAAACCA